UCUGUCUGGUGCGUCUUUUAUA
Molecule: non-coding RNA, 22 nt
Filed under: Arabidopsis thaliana (thale cress)
Lineage: Eukaryota; Viridiplantae; Streptophyta; Magnoliopsida; Brassicales; Brassicaceae
Source: RNAcentral